Molecule: ribosomal RNA, 253 nt
Filed under: uncultured bacterium
Lineage: Bacteria
Description: partial 16S ribosomal RNA
Rfam family: Bacterial small subunit ribosomal RNA
Source: RNAcentral
UACGUAGGGUGCGAGCGUUAAUCGGAAUUACUGGGCGUAAAGCGUGCGCAGGCGGUUCUCCAAGUCCGUUGUGAAAGCCCCGGGCUCAACCUGGGACUGGCAUUGGAAACUGGCGACCUAGAGUGCGGUAGAGGGUAGUGGAAUUCCCGGUGUAGCAGUGAAAUGCGUAGAGAUCGGGAGGAACAUCUGUGGCGAAGGCGACUGCCUGGACCAGCACUGACACUGAGGCACGAAAGCGUGGGGAGCAAACAGG